UCAUUCUUACCUCAUUACAGCAAAACCUGGGUAUGUGUGUGUUAGCGCUAAGAAAUUUGGCUAAGAGUCAACAGCCAUAUCUAGCAGCUAUGUAAGUCUAUAUUUUAUGCCAGUGUAUUUCAAUAUCCUCACUUGUUACAGGGUGUGAACAAGGUAUAUUAAAUUUGCAAUCAAUCUAAUUAUUCUAUGGACAAUUCCCUCUGAACCAAAAAA
Long non-coding RNA from Etheostoma cragini (Arkansas darter), 213 nucleotides. RefSeq lists it as uncharacterized. The transcript has 2 exons. The record is from RefSeq and is a predicted model, not a curated record. NCBI's taxonomy places the organism in Eukaryota, Metazoa, Chordata, Actinopteri, Perciformes, Percidae.